UCCAAAGCUCAAGGCUUUGUCUCACAAACGUGGAUGGUGGAUUUUGGCUGUAUCUUUAGGCAUUACUCAAGUUGUGAGGAUCGCAUACAGUACUGACUUUCUUUCCCAUCUAUUAAUUGUUUAAAUUGAACUACUGUCAACAAACAGGCUGUCAACAAACAGGCCAUGAUGUACUGGUUGCAACAGCUGCAGAUGAAACGCUGGGAGUUCUGUAAUAACCAGGCAAGAGGUUUUGUGGAGGAAGAUGCUUUUUUCACCUCUUCUGUGAAUGAGGAGCGAUGUAAUAAUACUGAUGCAGAACAUGAGUUUCUACCUCCUGUUAAAACUCCCGCUGAUGAUGUAGUCGGCAUAAAGGCAGCCUCUCUACCAGCACCACAGCUUUCUGUUGCUCUUCAGAACAUCUCCCUCAAGCAUCCUUGGAUUGAAAUACAGUAAUGGUUUUAUAUAUUUAAAUUCCAGAAAUGUAAAUUAAUCUUCCUUGAAUCAAUAAUUAGUCAUCUCAGUGACUAAUAAAUGCCUUUCUGCAUCAUAAUGGGUCUUCA
This 542-nucleotide long non-coding RNA is filed under the name Pogona vitticeps (central bearded dragon). RNAcentral describes it as "lncRNA (ENSPVIG00000007206.1)". The record is from RNAcentral. Lineage: Eukaryota; Metazoa; Chordata; Lepidosauria; Squamata; Agamidae.